CAUAUACGAGUAUGUAGAUUGUACGUGUGUACGUACAUACGUAGAAUCUGUUUAACUCGCCCUGUGGCUCUCUGUCAGCGCAAACUCGGCGUUAUCGACCACUCGCUGGAACGCAACCGCCGACGUUUGUGUAUCUCCGUGCCAGUGGUUUCCAAAGUGCACCUCUGCACACCUCUGCACACCUCAAAGAGAUCCAACGCACGUAGGAUAUUCUGGGAAUUUUUUCGAAUUUCCUCAUACAUUUCUUUUCUUAGACUCUUUAUGGUUCCGGUUGUCCGUUGGCUAUUGAAAUCAUUUGGGAAUUUCAGGCUUUCGCGAUGUAAUAAGGUUUGGAAACCACUGUGCUGCCAGAGAUAUUCGGUUUUCUCGCGUGCAAGUUUCACGAGUUACUCGUUGGUGCCCCGUGUGCGAUGAUAGGGGUCGAUCGGUGCCGUAGGGUUCGAGCGAAAGCGAUGCCUGAAUCCAUCAAUUCUGCGAAACCUUUUGUACGACACAACUCGACCCGUCGUUUUCACCGUGGCUAAUGAAGUAUCGCGUUAAACGGGAAACUCGAUACCCCGUG
RNAcentral lists this unclassified non-coding RNA (562 nucleotides) under Bombus terrestris (buff-tailed bumblebee). RNAcentral's name for it is "misc RNA ENSBTSG00005025272.1". The record is from RNAcentral. Lineage: Eukaryota; Metazoa; Arthropoda; Insecta; Hymenoptera; Apidae.